CGACUCCGGCGGCAGCCUCGGCGGUCUGGGCGGGGCGGGAAGCCCGCUUUCAACCCCGCGUACCCUCUGACCCCGGAAGUGCUUUCCGCGCAGGACCCCUAGGAAAAAAAGAGGACCGGCUUUUUUAGGUCACAAGACUGCGCCAGAGCGCGCGAUACUUGAGAAAAUAACCCUGUGGGACCACGAGACGGGAGAAAAUGUACAACGUAGGCAAACCUGAGAAUCCGGCAAAGAUUGAGAGGAAGCACGUGUUUUUGUUAACUCUAGAGGCACCGGCAGGAGACUGGGACAGUUACUACUCUGUGACGGAGACAGAUAAUAUUUUCUCGCUCCGCCGAAGAGUUCGAUCGCGGAGCGAUACAGGCAGCCGCGCAGGCCACUGCAGGCGGUAGCUAGGCCGCCGCGGGUUUAAAACGUGCGCGUGAGAUGACGAGGGCGCAUGCGCGGGAGUAAGGGGGGCGGGAGAGGCCCGCGGUGGUUUCCGGGGGGGAGGGGUGGUGAGGCGCGGCCUGGAGGCGGUGCACGCGCUCUGGUGGGCACGUGGGGCCCCUUCGUCCCCGGCGUCCCGGCGCCUCGUACCAGCCCCCACCUUGGCCUCUGUCCGGUGACUGCGUCCGCUUCGCAGAAAGACUUGAGAGUCACUCACUCCACCUAGUACCGCCCGGGCUUGUGGUGUUUUGGGGACGUGUUAGGAACUCGGCUCUCUAGAAGAAUGGCGUCCAUUUACAUAAUGCUUUGUUUGCAUUUUGUUGGCUUCUGUUAGUGAAACCCUCAGAAGCCCCACCUCCUGCCCUUGUGUUUUACGUCCCGCGACGGUUUCUCUAGACAUUAGAGGACCAGUGCGCACUGAUGGGAUGCCGCCAUGGCCCGGCAUGUCCAUACUGGCUCGCGGGCCGCCUGGACCACGCUCUCUGGAGGCGGCCAACACUCGCCGCGGCCGCCAUCUUGGGAGGUCUUCCUGACCGAUCCCUCCCGCCAGGAAAUGGCUAUCAAUACGCUGGAGACAGAGCAAGACAAACCCAGAGAGAUGAAGUGACUGACCCAAGGUUACACAGGAUGGAAUCUGUAUCUUCUGAUUUCCUUACUGGCCCACAGUGCAUGUUCUGA
This 1107-nucleotide long non-coding RNA is filed under the name Rattus norvegicus (Norway rat). RNAcentral's name for it is "long non-coding RNA NONRATT033070". Lineage: Eukaryota; Metazoa; Chordata; Mammalia; Rodentia; Muridae. The record is from RNAcentral.